Molecule: non-coding RNA, 110 nt
Organism: Acanthosepion pharaonis
Lineage: Eukaryota; Metazoa; Mollusca; Cephalopoda; Sepiida; Sepiidae
Source: the annotation of a GenBank genome assembly
GGCCAAAUCAUGUUGAAACACUGGCUCUCAUAGGAUCACCGAAGUUAAGCAACGUCGACCUUAGUCAGUAUCUAGAUGGGUUGUCGCUUGGGAAUGCCAGGUACUGUAAG